UACACUUUAAUAUAUGAUGUAUGUUAAUUUUUGAUAUUAAAAGAAAUAGUUGAAUUCUAUUAAGUGUAG
This 69-nucleotide transfer RNA is filed under the name Luperus sp. EMHAU-15070805. RNAcentral describes it as "tRNA-Gln". Lineage: Eukaryota; Metazoa; Arthropoda; Insecta; Coleoptera; Chrysomelidae. The record is from RNAcentral.